This 1372-nucleotide ribosomal RNA is filed under the name uncultured bacterium. RNAcentral's name for it is "bacterial SSU rRNA". It matches the Rfam family "Bacterial small subunit ribosomal RNA", at positions 28 to 1381 of the family's 1533-position model. The record is from RNAcentral.
GAUGAACGCUGGCGGCGUGCCUAAUACAUGCAAGUCGAGCGAACGGACGAGAAGCUUGCUUCUCUGAUGUUAGCGGCGGACGGGUGAGUAACACGUGGAUAACCUACCUAUAAGACUGGGAUAACUUCGGGAAACCGGAGCUAAUACCGGAUAAUAUUUUGAACCGCAUGGUUCAAAAGUGAAAGACGGUCUUGCUGUCACUUAUAGAUGGAUCCGCGCUGCAUUAGCUAGUUGGUAAGGUAACGGCUUACCAAGGCAACGAUGCAUAGCCGACCUGAGAGGGUGAUCGGCCACACUGGAACUGAGACACGGUCCAGACUCCUACGGGAGGCAGCAGUAGGGAAUCUUCCGCAAUGGGCGAAAGCCUGACGGAGCAACGCCGCGUGAGUGAUGAAGGUCUUCGGAUCGUAAAACUCUGUUAUUAGGGAAGAACAUAUGUGUAAGUAACUGUGCACAUCUUGACGGUACCUAAUCAGAAAGCCACGGCUAACUACGUGCCAGCAGCCGCGGUAAUACGUAGGUGGCAAGCGUUAUCCGGAAUUAUUGGGCGUAAAGCGCGCGUAGGCGGUUUUUUAGUCUGAUGUGAAAGCCCACGGCUCAACCGUGGAGGGUCAUUGGAAACUGGAAAACUUGAGUGCAGAAGAGGAAAGUGGAAUUCCAUGUGUAGCGGUGAAAUGCGCAGAGAUAUGGAGGAACACCAGUGGCGAAGGCGACUUUCUGGUCUGUAACUGACGCUGAUGUGCGAAAGCGUGGGGAUCAAACAGGAUUAGAUACCCUGGUAGUCCACGCCGUAAACGAUGAGUGCUAAGUGUUAGGGGGUUUCCGCCCCUUAGUGCUGCAGCUAACGCAUUAAGCACUCCGCCUGGGGAGUACGACCGCAAGGUUGAAACUCAAAGGAAUUGACGGGGACCCGCACAAGCGGUGGAGCAUGUGGUUUAAUUCGAAGCAACGCGAAGAACCUUACCAAAUCUUGACAUCCUUUGACAACUCUAGAGAUAGAGCCUUCCCCUUCGGGGGGGCAAAGUGACAGGUGGUGCAUGGUUGUCGUCAGCUCGUGUCGUGAGAUGUUGGGUUAAGUCCCGCAACGAGCGCAACCCUUAAGCUUAGUUGCCAUCAUUAAGUUGGGCACUCUAAGUUGACUGCCGGUGACAAACCGGAGGAAGGUGGGGAUGACGUCAAAUCAUCAUGCCCCUUAUGAUUUGGGCUACACACGUGCUACAAUGGACAAUACAAAGGGCAGCGAAACCGCGAGGUCAAGCAAAUCCCAUAAAGUUGUUCUCAGUUCGGAUUGUAGUCUGCAACUCGACUACAUGAAGCUGGAAUCGCUAGUAAUCGUAGAUCAGCAUGCUACGGUGAAUACGUUCCCGGGUCU